UGCUUACACAUGCAAGUUGAACGAAUAGUAGCAAUACUAUGAGUGGCAAACGGGUGAGUAAUACGUAGGAAUCUACCCUGUAGUAUGGAACAACAGUUGGAAACGACUGCUAAUACCAUAUACGCUCUUUUAGAGGAAAGAUUUAUCGCUAUAGGAUGAGCCUGCGCUAAAUUAGGUUGUUGGUAGGGUAAUGGCCUACCAAGCCGAUGAUUUAUAGCUGGUCUGAGAGGACGAUCAGCCACACUGGAACUGAGACACGGUCCAGACUCCUACGGGAGGCAGCAGUGAGGAAUAUUGGACAAUGGGCGCAAGCCUGAUCCAGCAAUGUCGCGUGAAUGAUGAAGGCCUUAGGGUUGUAAAGUUCUUUCGGUAGGGAAGAAAAUGACGGUACCUACAGAAGAAGCUCCGGCUAACUCCGUGCCAGCAGCCGCGGUAAUACGGGGGGAGCUAGCGUUUUUCGGAUUUACUGGGCGUAAAGGGCGCGUAGGCGGUUAAUAAAGUUGAAAGUGAAAUCCCCGGGCUUAACCUGGGAACUGCUUUCAAAACUCAUUGACUAGAGAACGAUAGAGGAUAACAGAAUUCCUAGUGUAGAGGUGAAAUUCUUAGAUAUUAGGAGGAAUACCGGUGGCGAAGGCGGUUAUCUGGGUCGUUUCUGACGCUGAGGCGCGAAAGCGUGGGGAGCAAACAGGAUUAGAUACCCUGGUAGUCCACGCUGUAAACGAUGAGUGUUAGGUGUUGGGGUCGCAAGACUUCAGUGCCGCAGCUAACGCAUUAAACACUCCGCCUGGGGAGUAAGAUCGCAAGAUUAAAACUCAAGGAAUUGACGGGGACCUGCACAAGUGGUGGAACAUGCGGUUUAAUUCGAUGCUACNCGAAAACCUUACCAACUCUUGACAUG
RNAcentral lists this ribosomal RNA (898 nucleotides) under uncultured bacterium. RNAcentral's name for it is "bacterial SSU rRNA". It matches the Rfam family "Bacterial small subunit ribosomal RNA", at positions 45 to 988 of the family's 1533-position model. The record is from RNAcentral.